Carassius auratus (goldfish) is the source of this 316-nucleotide long non-coding RNA. RefSeq lists it as uncharacterized. The record is from RefSeq and is a predicted model, not a curated record. Lineage: Eukaryota; Metazoa; Chordata; Actinopteri; Cypriniformes; Cyprinidae. The transcript has 3 exons.
AAUAGAAUUUUCAAAAGCUGGACUGAUCGCAGGACUGAGUGUCACAUUUCUGCUCAUUUUCGCUCUGGUCUUGCUGUGGUUCUGCAAACGCAAAGGUGCAGGAUCUCCAUGUUCCUCUACUGACCAUCAGCCGCAAAACAUCAAACAGACAUCAGAACAGAAGACGAGUGGACAAACACCACCGCAGUCCGAUACCAUAUAUGGUCCUUCUUAUGUGUCCUAUGCAAAGAUUAACCUGAAAUCCAUGAAUGAAAUUAAGGAGAAAAAGAAAGACCAAGGUAUGAAACCAAACCUGCUGAGAUGUAUUUGCAGUUGU